UCUUUUUUCUUUUGCCCAUACGUUUGGAGCCAAAGGCAAAACCAAAGAGAAUACAUUCUCAGCUAUGAUCAAGCAGAAUUUGAAAUCCUACAGCUGGGCAGUGCCCCGUCUUCUGAUUUCUAUCUGUUUGGCUGUUUAUGCUGGCGUUGGAAAUGCAGCCAAGGAGAACAGAGUUAUCUCAACCCAUUUACCUGCCGCUUCCCCCACGGCAGUGUUUCACACAUAUGGAAUGAGUCUUGUGUCUCCAUCUGUGUCUCAGAGCCCAAGCAGAGAGAAAGCCAAAGAGGGUGAAACGGUGACCCUUGGAUGCCGGUUCCGAAGUUCCCAUGGCUCAUCUUUGAAUAACCUAACAGUGAAAUGGUACAAGGAGGAUGAAAAUGGGUCGAGGGACCUAAUGGAGAACAACAUCACUGUAUUGGCAAACUACACCAGAGCAUUCCUGAUAGGGGAUUUAUCUGAAGGCAAUGCAUCUUUGACUAUCUUAAAUGUGACAACCAGCGAUCACGGCACUUAUUUCUGCCAGGUGAUGCUUUCCAGUGGAGAUGUGGUGACAGGAGGUGGCACAAAGCUCAGGAUCCGCAGGGCGCUGGGAUUGUUUGGCAUAGAAGAAUCCAUUGGAACAAUCAUUGGCGUGGUGGCAGCUGGCAUUGGAGGCAUGUUAGUUCUAAUAGUAGUUUUAACUCCUCAGCUGAGGAAGUGCCUUCCAUGUGCUAAAGCAACAUCGAACCAAGCAUAACUUGGACAGCAUGGCUAAAGUAAUUGCCAGGUGUGCCACCGACGAUAUAGUUUUCUGAAUGUUUUCCAUCUCGAUCUUUUGCUGUCCUUCCUCUUCCCCUCCCCCUCUUGUAUCCCCUUUUGGGUUUCUCCCUUCUUACUCUAACUUUAUGAAUGGUGUGUUGGUUAAAUGAGCCACGUUGAAGGGUCAGUGCCUAGAGCAAAAUCCAGACUGGCCUCGCCUCUCUCAGAAUAGCUCUACUGCAUAAUGGAAAUAAAAUCUGUCAUCACAACCUUGUGCAUUUCAGUUUCAUCUCAAUUUUAGCUUCCUUUAUUGCCCAGAAUUCUUAUGCUCAACUCAUA
This is an RNA transcript of Zootoca vivipara (common lizard), 1077 nucleotides long. RefSeq lists it as uncharacterized. The record is from RefSeq and is a predicted model, not a curated record. NCBI's taxonomy places the organism in Eukaryota, Metazoa, Chordata, Lepidosauria, Squamata, Lacertidae.